AAGUGGAGACAUAGACCUCCUCAUGGGUCCUAAAACAAAUGCCCUAAGAGCUCGCUUUCCCUGUCAGGAGAAGGUGAUGUUAACAUCUUGGAGAUUGACUUUUUUUUUUUUCUUUCCCUUUUGGCCCAUUUGUUCCCACAGGAAUUUCCAUUCAGGAAAUGCCAGCUGCAGGACGUGGUCACUCAGCCCGAAGCCGAGGCCGCCCCAAAGGUUCAGGAAGCACAGCCAAAGGAGCAGGGAAGGGCCGGAGCCGAAAGUCCACGGCAGGCAGUGCUGCUGCAAUGGCAGGAGCCAAAGCCGGGGCUGCAGCGGCCUCUGCAGCUGCCUAUGCCGCAUACGGGUACAACGUGUCUAAAGGAAUCUCCGCCAGCAGUCCUCUGCAGACAUCUCUUGUUCGGCCUGCUGGCCUUGCUGACUUUGGACCUUCAAGCGCCUCUUCUCCUUUGAGUUCCCCUUUGAGCAAGGGAAAUAAUGUUCCUGGGAAUCCCAAGAACCUCCACAUGACCAGCAGCCUAGCCCCAGACUCUCUGGUCCGGAAACAGGGCAAAGGCACCAACCCCUCUGGAGGACGGUAACCAUCUGGGCCCUCCGACUUCCUUCAACCAAACCAGGGCUAGAGUCCUGACCUGCCAGUGGUCUUUGGAUGGCUUGCCCCGUGCAGCAUCUUGCAUCCUGAGUCAGAAGUGGAAAUGUCCAGCAGGGGAAGGACAGGCAGGUGGAUGGUGUGAGCACUUUUAUCAUCUGUGUCUCAUCAGGAGCAUCUGGGGUGCCUGUAGGAGGAAGGCACAGGGCAGGGAUCAGCCCCACUGCAUCUCAAGUGAACUGCAUAGCCAAGUCUUAAACCUCUCACGGGGCAAGCCUGACACAGACCCCCUUUAGAUGCUCA
Molecule: small RNA, 886 nt
Filed under: Pan troglodytes (chimpanzee)
Lineage: Eukaryota; Metazoa; Chordata; Mammalia; Primates; Hominidae
Description: retained intron
Source: RNAcentral